RNAcentral lists this ribosomal RNA (253 nucleotides) under uncultured bacterium. Its description in RNAcentral is "partial 16S ribosomal RNA". It matches the Rfam family "Bacterial small subunit ribosomal RNA", at positions 524 to 776 of the family's 1533-position model. The record is from RNAcentral.
UACAGAGGGUGCAAGCGUUAGUCGGAGUUACUGGGCGUAAAGGGCGUGUAGGCUGAUAUCUUAGUCGAUUGUGAAAUCCCUGGGCUUAACCUAGGAAUUGCAGUCGAUACUGGAUGUCUUGAGUAUGGUAGAGGAAGGUGGAAUUCUCGGUGUAGUGGUUAAAUACGUAGAUAUCGAGAAGAACAUCGGUGGCGAAGGCGGCCUUCUGGACCAAUACUGACGCUGAGGCGCGAAAGCGUGGGGAGCAAACAGG